Molecule: long non-coding RNA, 2395 nt
Filed under: Mytilus galloprovincialis (Mediterranean mussel)
Lineage: Eukaryota; Metazoa; Mollusca; Bivalvia; Mytilida; Mytilidae
Source: RNAcentral
GGCCAAUUAUCUCCCAUUCUACAUACAAAAGUAUAUAGAAACUAUAUAUUUUUGGAAUCAGUGUGAAAGAAGCUAUCAUAUGAGACCGGAUGUGACAUUCAUUUCACCGGAAGUAGCAUAUUAUCUCCCUUAUAUCACUCAAAAAGAUAAUUAAACCAUCAUUUUUCGCAUCAGUAUAAAGAAACUACCUUCUUAUCCAAAUUUCUUUGGUGUGGAAAGACUUUCAAUUGUUCUCUGAACAAUUGGUUUUUAAUUAUUAUUAUUAUUUUUUUCUUCCGCCAAAUUUUGUUCUUGCGCAUAAAUGUUUGUUUCGCAAUAUGUCGCUUAGAUAUUUCUCAUAUGGUAUCGUAUAGUUUAUGCGCUUUUAAAUUUCACCCUGCUAAGGCGAACCAUUUUCUAUGUAAGAGUUAUCUCCCUUUUCACUGUUUAUCCUCUGUGUGCAUCUCCUUCGUAACAAAAAAGAUAGCGACAAAAUUCUUUUUACAAAUUGUUCGUUACAUCCUCAGUAAUUUUUGGCGUAUUUGGAUCGAAGCGAUUCGAUGAAAUUUUAUAGGAGUUAUCUACCUUUACGGAAUAAAUUUGUCGGUAUGUUUUUUUAAACUCAUAAACCGUUAACCGUAUAACCCUGGAAUGUUUUUAUUUGAGUCCCCUGGGUCCUAACUUAGAAAAUUAGGUCAAGGUCAAAGGUCAAGGUCAUAUUUUAGAUUUUUAUAAGUUUUUCAUUUCCCUAUAAUUCUUGAACGGUUAUAGAUACAAAAAUAUUAAGCAGUGAAAAAUGCUUGGUACUUUAAGGGGCAACUUUUUUACAUUAUGACUAUAUUGAUUUUACCAUCAUAUAAGGGACAUAACUCCCAUCGAUGGUUUUUAAAAAGCCAUUUUUAGGCAAAACUCUUAAACAAAAGGUCCUUGACCCAUAGGGUCUUUUGCAAUGACCUUGUGGAGCAAUGACCUUGACGAAGGUCACAAGGUCAAAGGUCAAGGUCAUCAAAUUAUGUGGUUUUGGCACUAUUUAAACAGUUUUAUGAGUGUUUGAAUUUCAACCAACCAACCAACCAACCAACCAACCAACCAACCAACCAAUCAAUCAAUCAAUCAAUCAAUCAAUCAAUCAAUCAAUCAAUCAAUCAAUCAAUGUUUCCGUUUCAUGUGUUUGAUACGGGAUUCAAGGUCUCUUUUUUUCCGCUUGUUUUAAUUGAGCCUAUCAAACGUGUUUAACCAACAUGUUUAACCAACAUGUUUAACCAACGUGUUUAACCAACCAACCAACCAACCAACCAACCAACAACCAACCAAUCAAUCAAUCAAUCAAUCAAUGCAUGUUUCCGUUUCAUGUGUUAAAUACGGGAUCCAAGAUGUUUUUUUUUCGCUCGUUUAAAUUGAGCCUAUCUAACGUGUUUAACCAGCCAACGUGUUUAACCAACGUGUUUAACCAACAUGUUUAACCAACGUGUUUAACCAACCAACCAACAACCAACCAACCAACCAUCCACCAACCAACCAACCAACCAACCAACCAACCAAUCAAUCAAUCAAUGCAUGUUUCCGUUUCAUGUGUUAAAUACGGGAUCCAAGAUGUUUUUUUUCGCUUGUUUAAAUUGAGCCUAUCUAACGUGUUUAACCAGCCAACGUGUUUAACCAACGUGUUUAACCAACAUGUUUAACCAACCAACCAACCAACCAACCAACCAACCAACCAACCAAUCAACCAAUCAAUGCAUGUUUCCGUUUCAUGUGUUAAAUACGGGAUCCAAGAUGGUUUUUUUCGCUUGUUAAAAUUGAGCCUAUCAAACGUGUUUAAACUACGUGUUUAACCAGCAUGUUUAACUAACGUGUUUAACCAGCAUGUUUAACCAACGUGUUUAAUCAACCAACCAACCAACCAACCAACCAACCAACCAACCAACCAACCAAUAAAUCAAUGCAUGUUUCCGUUUCAUGUGUUAAAUACGGGAUCCAAGAUGUUUUUUUUUUUCGCUUGUUUAAAUUGAGCCUAUCAAACGUGUUUAACCAGCCAACGUGUUUAACCAACGUGUUUAACCAACGUGUUUAACCAACCAACCAACCAACCAACCAACCAACCAAUCAACCAAUCAAUGCAUGUUUCCGUUUCAUGUGUUAAAUACGGGAUCCAAGAUGUUUUUUUUCGCUUGUUUAAAUUGAGCCUUUCCAACGUGUUUAACCAGCCAACGUGUUUAACCAACGUGUUCAACCAACAUGUUUAACCAACGUGUUUAACCAACCAACCAACCAAUCAAUCACUUAAUGUAUGUUUCCGUGUCAUGCGUUUAAUACGGGAUGCAAGGUCUCUUGAGGUUUUUUUUCCCUUGUUCUAAGUGACCCUAUCAAACGUGUUUAAUCAACCAACCAACCAACCAACCAACCAAUCAAUCAACCA